Long non-coding RNA from Triticum aestivum (bread wheat), 981 nucleotides. RefSeq lists it as uncharacterized. Lineage: Eukaryota; Viridiplantae; Streptophyta; Magnoliopsida; Poales; Poaceae. The transcript has 3 exons. The record is from RefSeq and is a predicted model, not a curated record.
UCCUCCCCGCCGCCACUUCUCUCUUCCUUGGGAUUGCUCCCGAUCCAAAAUCCACCAACCAGAGCCAAAUCCAGAUCCUCUCUCGCCCUCCGACCACCUCCCUUGUUCUUCGCGCCGCUCCAUUCCUAGCCUCCCACGCCCAGCCGCAUCGAGCGCCCGCAGCUCCAUUCCCGUGCGCCUCCUCUGCUCGGCCUCGCCGCUGUUCCGCCACCCCCAGCAAGCUCCGGUGACCAGCAGGUCCCCAGCGCCGCCCUUUUCCCCUGCCUCCUCUGUUACCUGCUCUUGAUCCCCCUCUCUCUCAUGUCCAUGUCCCUCUCCCCGCCAUGGACAGGUAACACCAAGCCGUCGGCCACUAGGAGCUCAAGACGGUGCCGCCCCAUCGCCUGGAUCCGUUGCUCCGUCCGGCCUCCCUCGCCUCUCCCGCGUCACCGGAGGUCGCCUCCGCCCGCGCAUCUUCGUCCCGGAGCGCCUCCCCGCCAUGGCCGCCCGAACCUGAAGCUCUAUCCUGCCUCGUUCCACGCCUCGGCUCCGGCCAGAACGAAUCGUCCCCGGCCUCCUCGUCAGACCGGUUUCCCCUGUCAAGUCCUUGCGUCGCCUCAGGGACAUGGCGCCGCUCGUUCUUCUGCAAGCUGGAGCAAGGACCCGUAGGACCCCCGCCGUUCGGAUCCGCAACCCCGUGCCUCAUCCUCGUACAUGCCCGGCCGCGCCACCGGAGCCCCGCAGGUCGCCCGCCCGCGAAGACUCUGCUUCCAGUGCGCCGCUUUGUUCGUUCUCUGCCACGUCAAGCUCAAUCCGGUCCCCAUUGACCGCGAGCGUCGGCUGGGUCGCAGCCGCGCGGGCCCAGCUCCCUUUGCCCGCGAGGCCCAGCUCUGCGCGCCCCUGUUGGCCCAAUUUGCAGGUACAGGUUAUGCGAUGAUCAUGACGCGAGAGCGAUGUUGCUUGUUUUGGAGUUCUUCUUCUUUGGCUUCUUCUUUGAUCAGG